CAGUCGCCGCGGUAAUACGUAGGGUGCAAGCGUUGUCCGGAAUUAUUGGGCGUAAAGAGCUCGUAGGCGGUUUGUCGCGUCUGCUGUGAGAUCCCGAGGCUCAACCUCGGGCUUGCAGUGGGUACGGGCAGACUAGAGUGCGGUAGGGGAGAUUGGAAUUCCUGGUGUAGCGGUGGAAUGCGCAGAUAUCAGGAGGAACACCGAUGGCGAAGGCAGAUCUCUGGGCCGUAACUGACGCUGAGGAGCGAAAGCGUGGGGAGCGAACAGGAUUAGAUACCCCUGUAGUCCCUGUCUCUUAUAC
RNAcentral lists this ribosomal RNA (301 nucleotides) under uncultured bacterium. RNAcentral describes it as "partial 16S ribosomal RNA". It matches the Rfam family "Bacterial small subunit ribosomal RNA", at positions 509 to 807 of the family's 1533-position model. The record is from RNAcentral.